Molecule: ribosomal RNA, 252 nt
Filed under: uncultured prokaryote
Description: partial 16S ribosomal RNA
Rfam family: Bacterial small subunit ribosomal RNA
Source: RNAcentral
UACAGAGGGGGCAAGCGUUGUUCGGAAUUACUGGGCGUAAAGGGCGCGUAGGCGGCCUGCUAAGUCGAACGUGAAAUCCCUGGGCUCAACCCAGGAACUGCGUCCGAUACUGGUUGGCUUGAAUCCGGGAGAGGGAUGUGGAAUUCCAGGUGUAGCGGUGAAAUGCGUAGAUAUCUGGAGGAACACCGGUGGCGAAGGCGACAUCUGGCCCGAUACUGACGCUAAAGCGCGAAAGCUAGGGGAGCAAACGGG